UGCAGUCGAACGAACUUCCGUUAAUUGAUUAUGACGUACUUGUACUGAUUGAGAUUUUAACACGAAGUGAGUGGCGAACGGGUGAGUAACACGUGGGUAACCUGCCCAGAAGUAGGGGAUAACACCUGGAAACAGAUGCUAAUACCGUAUAACAGAGAAAACCGCAUGGUUUUCUUUUAAAAGAUGGCUCUGCUAUCACUUCUGGAUGGACCCGCGGCGUAUUAGCUAGUUGGUGAGGUAAAGGCUCACCAAGGCAGUGAUACGUAGCCGACCUGAGAGGGUAAUCGGCCACAUUGGGACUGAGACACGGCCCAGACUCCUACGGGAGGCAGCAGUAGGGAAUCUUCCACAAUGGACGCAAGUCUGAUGGAGCAACGCCGCGUGAGUGAAGAAGGGUUUCGGCUCGUAAAGCUCUGUUGUUAAAGAAGAACGUGGGUAAGAGUAACUGUUUACCCAGUGACGGUAUUUAACCAGAAAGCCACGGCUAACUACGUG
Molecule: ribosomal RNA, 495 nt
Filed under: Pediococcus pentosaceus
Lineage: Bacteria; Bacillati; Bacillota; Bacilli; Lactobacillales; Lactobacillaceae
Description: bacterial SSU rRNA
Rfam family: Bacterial small subunit ribosomal RNA
Source: RNAcentral